CUUGAUAUCUGUUAAUUGGGUUACAUUGAGAACUAGAUGCUAUAGUCUGUGCUGUCAGAGUAUUAUGUUGGUUCUCUGCAAUGGCUACACAAACGGCAGCUGUCAUUGAAGUAAAAUUGGCUCCUCAGUACAAUAUAGCCUACAACUGACUGACUUUUUUUUUAACAUUCAAACACAAUCAGUCCAUCAUGUAGCUAUAGUUUUGGAGGCCCCUCUUUGCACGAUUUAUGUCUUAUUCUACCAGUAUCUUCCCCACUCAGUCUCCCUGUGUGUCUUGAUGGGCAACUAUAGUUCAGUCCUCAUUCCUGGUAAGUGUCACAGCUGUAACCUUUCAACUGAAACAAGCUGGGGAACCUACACUGAAAUGUCACUCUUAUUUUCAAAGAUGCAGAAGAAUUUGAGUCCAUUGUGUCUCUAGUGACAGACAAGGCGAAUGAGCCCAGCAGUUUAUUGUCCAAGCUGGAGUCUAUGGGAAGUAUUCUGUGCAAAGUAAUAUAAAAACAUGAUUGCCAUAACUCCACAUAGUCAGCAGCAGCCCUUCUGUCAUUUUUCACUUGGUUGUGCCGUGUAACAAGUGUGCAGUAACAAAAUGUGCCCUUGGGAUAAUUUUAACUGCUCAGGCUGGCUCAGUCGACCACAGCUCUAUCAUGUAACACAAGAUAACAUGGUUCUUGCACCUUAAAGGGGUGAUGGGGCCCUAAGAUUCAGUAUCAUCAAUCAUUAACGUUUGUAUAAGAUUAUGACUUGCAACAACUUUAUGCUCUGGGCCCUGGCUAAAAACAUUACUCUUCUCACCCUCCAUCAUCUGGUUCUUGCUUUGGCUUUCCACAUAGUUGUAGAAUAUUUGACGCUGAUAUAAAAUCAGCUAUCAGAAUUCUUGAACCCAUGACCUAUAGGUGAAUAUGGAGUCGCAAAGAGAGGAAAAAAACAAUGAAGAUGAAGCUUCAAGUAAGGAAACAUCUGGAGCCUCUUUAUCAGCAGCAUCAAGUGAAGAGCCCUGUGACUCCAGUUCAGGCGCCCUCUCCACUCUGCUUCCAAAAGCCCUGUCCGCAGUCCUUCAUCACAAAAUGACCCCUGGGCACAACACUGACCAUCCCACCAGCAAAUACUCUGCAACACACAACCCCCCUCCAACUUGGAACAGCUGCAGUCAGAGCUCACAUCCUGAGAGGGCAGUUCGAACAGAUGAAGGCUCAACACAAUAA
Molecule: long non-coding RNA, 1205 nt
Filed under: Neogobius melanostomus (round goby)
Lineage: Eukaryota; Metazoa; Chordata; Actinopteri; Gobiiformes; Gobiidae
Description: lncRNA (ENSNMLG00000008059.1)
Source: RNAcentral